This 382-nucleotide unclassified non-coding RNA is filed under the name uncultured bacterium. RNAcentral describes it as "contains 16S-23S intergenic spacer region". The record is from RNAcentral.
UCACUACUUGCGUAGGCAGUCUGGCUAGAGUCCCCACCACUACGUGCUGGUAACUAACCACAGGGGUUGCGCUCGUUGCGGGACUUAACCCAACACCUCACGGCACGAGCUGACGACAACCAUGCACCACCUGUCACUUUGUCCCCCGAAGGGGAAAGCCCUAUCUCUAGGGUUAUCAAAGGAUGUCAAGACCUGGUAAGGUUCUUCGCGUUGCUUCGAAUUAAACCACAUGCUCCACUGCUUGUGCGGGCCCCCGUCAGUUCCUUUGAGUUUUAGCCUUGCGGCCGUACUCCCCAGGCGGAGUGCUUAACGCGUUAGCUUCGGCAAUGAGAGGGUCAAAAUCUCCCACCGCCUAGCACUCAUCGUUUACAGCGUGGACUAC